Molecule: unclassified non-coding RNA, 19 nt
Filed under: Mus musculus (house mouse)
Lineage: Eukaryota; Metazoa; Chordata; Mammalia; Rodentia; Muridae
Description: oocyte_clustered_small_RNA5427
Source: RNAcentral
CAUUGCCUGCUGACGUCAG